RNAcentral lists this ribosomal RNA (496 nucleotides) under uncultured bacterium. RNAcentral describes it as "partial 16S ribosomal RNA". It matches the Rfam family "Bacterial small subunit ribosomal RNA", at positions 29 to 507 of the family's 1533-position model. The record is from RNAcentral.
AUGAACGCUGGCGGCGUGCCUAAUACAUGCAAGUCGAGCGAACAGAUGAGGAGCUUGCUCCUCUUACGUUAGCGGCGGACGGGUGAGUAACACGUGGAUAACCUACCUAUAAGACUGGGAUAACUUCGGGAAACCGGAGCUAAUACCGGAUAAUAUAUUGAACCGCAUGGUUCAAUAGUGAAAGACGGUUUUGCUGUCACUUAUAGAUGGAUCCGCGCCGCAUUAGCUAGUUGGUAAGGUAACGGCUUACCAAGGCAACGAUGCGUAGCCGACCUGAGAGGGUGAUCGGCCACACUGGAACUGAGACACGGUCCAGACUCCUACGGGAGGCAGCAGUAGGGAAUCUUCCGCAAUGGGCGAAAGCCUGACGGAGCAACGCCGCGUGAGUGAUGAAGGUCUUCGGAUCGUAAAACUCUGUUAUUAGGGAAGAACAAAUGUGUAAGUAACUAUGCACGUCUUGACGGUACCUAAUCAGAAAGCCACGGCUAACUACGUG